Non-coding RNA from Heterocephalus glaber (naked mole-rat), 3521 nucleotides. The record is from RefSeq and is a predicted model, not a curated record. NCBI's taxonomy places the organism in Eukaryota, Metazoa, Chordata, Mammalia, Rodentia, Bathyergidae.
GAAUGUUCCCGAGGCUCUGCAGCGGUAGCGGCAGUGCCUCGGCGGCCACCUCCUUUGUUCACUCGAACUCGUCACGGUCUACCCAGCCCGCAACCAGACCGUAGGACCAGGAACCUUGGAGAAGGCAGGCAGGAGAAACACCCAGGGCUGACAGAUUCCAGGCGGAAACAAGGUCCUUUCUUCAUGUCACAGCUGCACUUAUUCCCUGCUGGAUGUUUAAGGUGUCAGCUGGAGCCUGUCCAUGGUGACGCCUGAGGUUUCUGAGUUUCAGCCCAAGGAGGCAGCCCUGUGGCCAGAACCAAGUGCCGAGGAACUGUCCCCCACAGGAGUCAGCCAUCCCUCACGCCUGCCAGCGACCUGUGAGUGUGGAAGCAGAGCCUCCUGCCUGGCUACACUGCGGAUUGUGAGAGCUUGGGUGGGCCGUCUGGGCCUCAGAAGGUAUGGUAAUAAAUGCCGGCUGGGCUGUCGAAGGCUGUGAGUCGGGGGAUUUGGUGUGUAGCAGUGAGAACCCCUGCAGCUCUGCACCCUCUGGUCCAGAGGCCCUGAACGGCUGGGCCCCAACUCCUCUGUCAUCGUGAGCUCAGAACCAGGCGUCUAUAGUUUUCCUGUUCCCAGUUCCCGCCCUGCCCCACGUUCCUGGUGAACCCUCUCAUUUUCAAACCCUGGCCCCCGUCAUGGACGUCCUCCGUCUGUGGACAGGGACAGUGGAAGGUACCUGCCGGGCCCCCGUCACUCGUCUCAGGCCACCUGUACCCUCGCCCACUUCUGCGCCACAGGCAGAGCAAGGCCGCUCUUGUCAUCUGCCUCCUCGCUGCGACUCCCCCGCCUCUGGGGCUCCAUUCUGUCCAGUGGCUGCUCCUGUCUGCUGCUCGGCCCUGUUAGGCUGUCUCCACGCCCCAGGGUCUAGAAGAAAACAGUAAUCUCGAACCACCUCCCCGAACCUGUCUCUUUUCUCCCCUCCACAAGUAAAUUUCUUGAACAAGCUUAUUGUCUACACGUGCUGUCUUUACAGAGUGACACCUGCUCAUCCUCCACCUGUUCAGCCCAGGCUCUGCCUUUGAAGUCCUCCUAGCCCACACAGCAGAGGUUCCUGGUGGCAUCGUGAUAGGGAGGCCACACUCGAUUUGUGUUGCAGGAGUCCUGGUUGGAUCUUAAUGUCCCCUACGAGCAUGUGUGUUGAGUGAGGCCUCUUUGAAGUCCACGGCUCCACCUGGAUCAGUUUCAUCUCCAUCUCUGUCUUUUGGAGGGAUAAAUCCGGAAUUUGCCUCUAGGAGGCUCGCUGUGUAUUGCAUCUUCUACCACCAGGUGUCGCCACAGCACACUCACACGUUUCUCCAUUGGCUUCAAAUCUUGCUUCAGAUUCUUGCUGGAUCCAGAGGACCCACUUCUCUCCUUUGCUUCCUCAUGUUGCUAUAUUCCAGUGUCUGGACACCAAAUCUCAGAGACUGUUUUUAUGCUGUUCACCACUCUGCCAUCUUUUGUUCCCUCUCUUCCUUUUCAAGGCUAAUAUUCCAUUAAAGCGGGACCCUCUUAUUCACGCUGAGGAAAGGAAUGGAAGCCUUCACUCUGGUAAGCCAGACAUCUUUGAGCUCAGUCCACCAGUGGUGCUCGGCUCUGGCAGCAAAUCAGAAUCACCCAGGGCCCGGUGCGCACUGAGCGCCUCCUCUACACCUGAGCUGCAGCCACAGCCCGCCUGGGUGUCUUUUCCUAAAGCACUGGCACCUGAGCUCCCUUCCCACUCAUUCUGAUUGAUGCUAAGUGAUUAGGACCGGAACCAGGCCAAACUUCCUCAGUGACUUCUGCUGAUCACCCCCAGGCGAUUCCAACAUGCAGCCAUGGGGGGGCACCGAAGACCUGGAGGGCGAAGGUCACCCUCAUCUGCCCCUGGUGUUCAUUCAGGUCUGAGAGGAGAGUUAACGAAUGGAGCCUGGAGCGGGCAAGGUGCUGCGUGGUGCUGAUAGGUCACAGCUGCCCACCUAGCCGUGAAGUUGAUACAUCUGGGCCCCAUGUUUGUAGCUGUUUUCCCAUCCUAGACUUUGCUGCCAGCAAGGUCCGGGAGUCUGCCAGGAACCAGUGUUUAGGAUCAGCGUAAGUGAGACGACACGGGGUCUUCUCCGCCUUCACCCCAACUCCUCGCGUGCCAGCCUUGUACAAAGUACACAAACCCCUGAGCCUACCCCUCGCGUCGUGGUCAUCGUGGGCGCUGGAGCGCGCAGGGUGGGACUGCAGUUGGCUUCUGCAUCCCUCUGUACUGGCCGAGAAACAGGCUUACGGAGAGGAAGUAUUUUUCCCAACACCAAAAUACCAAGAGCAGGAGGCGGAAAGGAGCCCAGGCCUCCACUGUGCCUCAGUGGCUGAAAGGAAGCGGGUGGCCGACCCUUCAGGCCGCCUUCCGACGUCCCGGAGUGCUACCGCUGAGGCAGCCAGGCCCUGGAUCGCCCCUCAGGCCUUGGGAGGUGGCAGUGACCCCAACAGGUGAAGCUUCCUGCCCCAGUGUCAUUGUAGAGGGAAGAGCCAACUGACAAGGUAGGGCAAGGACACCCAAGGCCACCAGCAAGUUUCUGCAUGUGAACAUGUCUAGUAAAUGGCCUAGAGAGAUCUUAAAAAGACAACCAAAGAACCUGAAUCUUCAAGAGUCAAGAGCAUGGAGAAUGAAGCAAGGAAAACGCAAAGAGGGCGGUGACACAUACAGGACAAGGGUACAAGGGAGGCAGCAGAACCACUCCGCCGAACCAUAACUGGGAGAAUUUGGCUUUCCUUCUGCGCCUGAGACAGCAGCCCAGUCUUCUGCGCCCCAGAGCCCCUUGCUAGCCUGCCUCACUGAGGGUGGUGUCACAAGGACCCUCGAGCUAAGGCUGAGCAAGGUAGUCACCAGCCAAAGGGCUCCAAGGUCAUUGUUCACUGCUGCUGAGAUCUGCAGGAUGCUUUUGCCUGGCCACAGCUGUGACUCAACGAUCAGUCUGUGUGAUUGCUGGCGGGCUGGAGCCAGACUGCUCUCACCAACAGGUAUCUGUCUUAAUCACAUUUUUCAGGCUUGGAUAUCAGCGUGACCUGAUCCUGAGAUAGCCAGCAAUUUGCCUGCUAGAGCACUUUUUUGAUUUGUGAGCCAAUCAAUCCUGAGUCCAUAGCUCUCACUGGUCUCCUGCCACCAGGCUCCUGCAAUCUGGGACAUUAAAUCAUGUCCUAACCACCCCAGGUCCCAUACUGAGCAACUAGGGGCCACCCCUGUACUCCAGAGCCUGGGUGGGAUUAUUCAAGCUAACAUCCAGUGCUAACCUGCCCAGCUAACCUGUUUACCCCGCCCCGCCUGUUCCUUCCACAAUACAGGCUUCUGGCCGCCUGUGUUCUCCCUUACAUGGCUCCUGGCUGACCCGGUGCUCCAUGGGUGGCCUGAGUGCUGGCUGUGGUUCCUGUUUCUGGGACCUGUGAAUAGGAAACCAUCCCGCAUGACAGUCAUUUCUAUGUCCAUGCAUCUUACUGUGUCCGAUUAAAAUAAAUCCCAGGUACAUUUUAAAACAGUG